AAACGAUUGAAGUCAGUCGUACCGGUGGGUAAUCAGCCUUUUGGGUGUGAUUAUGUGGAGCGUGAGGAGCUAAUCACCUUCAUGCCUGCAUAUUCGUGCACUUUGGGUGUACUUGCUCGUGUGGUAGGUUAACAUCAAUUUUGGUCGUCAUAAAAUGGUUGGAGGAAUGUAGCUUCGAUCUCGUAUUGAAGUGUUAUAGCCUUUGGCAGAUGUGAUGAUUGGGAUUGAGGAUUGCAACGAACCCUUCGGGGCUACCUGUCUGAUCUCUGAGAGUUGCUCUGGUGCUGAAAGCUUGCUUAUGGUAUCAAAGUUGACGUUCAAUAGGUUAGAACGGGAUAAGUUCGUUAAGGAUGUUGACGUAAUGGCUUUAAACGA
Molecule: ribosomal RNA, 375 nt
Filed under: Glomus sp.
Lineage: Eukaryota; Fungi; Glomeromycota; Glomeromycetes; Glomerales; Glomeraceae
Description: LSU rRNA
Source: RNAcentral